Molecule: ribosomal RNA, 1059 nt
Filed under: Salmonella enterica
Lineage: Bacteria; Pseudomonadati; Pseudomonadota; Gammaproteobacteria; Enterobacterales; Enterobacteriaceae
Also listed under: 1 other name
Description: bacterial SSU rRNA
Rfam family: Bacterial small subunit ribosomal RNA
Source: RNAcentral
GAGUAAUGUCUGGGAAACUGCCUGAUGGAGGGGGAUAACUACUGGAAACGGUGGCUAAUACCGCAUAACGUCGCAAGACCAAAGAGGGGGACCUUCGGGCCUCUUGCCAUCAGAUGUGCCCAGAUGGGAUUAGCUUGUUGGUGAGGUAACGGCUCACCAAGGCGACGAUCCCUAGCUGGUCUGAGAGGAUGACCAGCCACACUGGAACUGAGACACGGUCCAGACUCCUACGGGAGGCAGCAGUGGGGAAUAUUGCACAAUGGGCGCAAGCCUGAUGCAGCCAUGCCGCGUGUAUGAAGAAGGCCUUCGGGUUGUAAAGUACUUUCAGCGGGGAGGAAGGUGUUGUGGUUAAUAACCGCAGCAAUUGACGUUACCCGCAGAAGAAGCACCGGCUAACUCCGUGCCAGCAGCCGCGGUAAUACGGAGGGUGCAAGCGUUAAUCGGAAUUACUGGGCGUAAAGCGCACGCAGGCGGUCUGUCAAGUCGGAUGUGAAAUCCCCGGGCUCAACCUGGGAACUGCAUUCGAAACUGGCAGGCUUGAGUCUUGUAGAGGGGGGUAGAAUUCCAGGUGUAGCGGUGAAAUGCGUAGAGAUCUGGAGGAAUACCGGUGGCGAAGGCGGCCCCCUGGACAAAGACUGACGCUCAGGUGCGAAAGCGUGGGGAGCAAACAGGAUUAGAUACCCUGGUAGUCCACGCCGUAAACGAUGUCUACUUGGAGGUUGUGCCCUUGAGGCGUGGCUUCCGGAGCUAACGCGUUAAGUAGACCGCCUGGGGAGUACGGCCGCAAGGUUAAAACUCAAAUGAAUUGACGGGGGCCCGCACAAGCGGUGGAGCAUGUGGUUUAAUUCGAUGCAACGCGAAGAACCUUACCUGGUCUUGACAUCCACAGAAGAAUCCAGAGAUGGAUUUGUGCCUUCGGGAACUGUGAGACAGGUGCUGCAUGGCUGUCGUCAGCUCGUGUUGUGAAAUGUUGGGUUAAGUCCCGCAACGAGCGCAACCCUUAUCCUUUGUUGCCAGCGGUUAGGCCGGGAACUCAAAGGAGACUGCCAGUGAUAAACU